UACGAAGGGGGCUAGCGUUGUUCGGAAUUACUGGGCGUAAAGCGCGCGCAGGCGGUCUUCCAAGUCAGUGGUGAAAGCCCGGAGCUCAACUCCGGAACUGCCAUUGAAACUGUUGGACUUGAGUACGAGAGAGGUGAGUGGAAUUCCCAGUGUAGAGGUGAAAUUCGUAGAUAUUGGGAAGAACACCGGUGGCGAAGGCGGCUCACUGGCUCGUAACUGACGCUCAGGCGCGACAGCGUGGGGAUCGAACAGG
RNAcentral lists this ribosomal RNA (253 nucleotides) under uncultured bacterium. Its description in RNAcentral is "partial 16S ribosomal RNA". It matches the Rfam family "Bacterial small subunit ribosomal RNA", at positions 524 to 776 of the family's 1533-position model. The record is from RNAcentral.